This 497-nucleotide long non-coding RNA is filed under the name Homo sapiens (human). RNAcentral's name for it is "HSALNT0395993". Lineage: Eukaryota; Metazoa; Chordata; Mammalia; Primates; Hominidae. The record is from RNAcentral.
UGGAGUGCAAUGGCGUGAUCUCGGCUCACUGCAACCUCUGCUUCCCAGGUUCCAGCGAUUCUCCUGCCUCAGCCUCCCAAGUAGCUGGGAUUAUAGGCCCCUGCCACCACGCCCAGCUAAUUUUUGUAUUUUUAGUAGAGAGGUGGUUUUUGCCAUGUUGGCCAGGCUGGUCUGGAACUCCUGACCUCAAGUGAUCUGUUCACCUCAGCCUCCCAAAGUGCUGGGAUUACAGGCGUGAGCCGCCGCACCCAGCCUUCCUGCUGGUUCUUUAUCAUCAACUCCAAUCCCACUGUUAUUUCACACAAGAAAGAAAAAAACAAAAAGCUCACUCUUUACUCUGCCCCUCUGGGCACCAACUUAUUUCUUUUCCCUGUAGGCUUUUUUUUUUCCUUGGAACUCCUUGAAAGUACUGGCUGGGCUGGGCACAGUGGCUCACGCCUGUAAUCCCAGCACUUUGGGAGGUGGAGGCGGGUGGAUCACCUGAGGUCGGGAGUUCG